Molecule: long non-coding RNA, 971 nt
Organism: Saccostrea echinata
Lineage: Eukaryota; Metazoa; Mollusca; Bivalvia; Ostreida; Ostreidae
Exons: 3
Source: RefSeq, a predicted model, not a curated record
UAAUGUGCAGGCAUUUAAUGGGAAGUCUGUGAUCAGUGAUAUGCCUACUGCACUCCCUGAACUACUAGAUUCUAUGGGGAUAUUCUGGACGUGAUAUUUAGUAAUCAUAUACUGCAAAUGGAAUCUAAUUAAUUGGACGUGCUCACGGAGGGUGUGACCGGUCGACAGGGGAUGCUUACUCUAAGUCACCUGAUCCUGCCUCUGGUGUUUCAAUAGGUUCAAAGACAGUUCAAAAGCAGCAGAGAAUGCAUGAAGACAAGCCCAAACGUCAAUGGGGUUGAUUUGUAGAUUGGAUUUGUUUAUCUUUGGAUUUCGGCUGAUAUACGCAACGGAAAAAUAAGAAAAAAUCAAUGUCUGGAUCAGGAGGGGCUGUAGAAACAGACAGGAAGCUCAGUAUGGUGUUCGAUUCCCUGUUGGAACUAGAACAUGAAAAACAACAAAGCUCUAUUCUGGACAAGUCUUUCUUCGGAACAGUUUCUCCCAGAGGGGAAGAUAAUGGACGAAAAGAGAUCAUUCUCUCAAUUACAAGAGAAAGCCUUCCUCCAGGAUCAGAGUUAUUACAAAAAGUGAUGCGAGAGAUUCAGUAUCGUUCACAGGAAUAAUCAGAACGACGCAUUACCCCCAAUUAUGACAUUCAUUGAGCGACCUUCCUCUUUGCCAAAGUUCAAAAAGAAUUUAGUUAAAGAGAGUUUGAAUCUUUGAGGAUUUAAUCAGCAUUGAAAGGAUCGUCUCUUUAUUUUAAGAGUCUACUGUAGAUAAUUAGAUCUCUGUGAAUAGUUCAGGGGAGUUAAGAUUUUCCAGCCACGUUAAAGAUUCAUCUGCGCGCGUUUGUGACAAUGUAUAGCUUUAUAUCAUUAAGUGCGGUGUAAAACAAGUGCUGAUAUAAGGAUACCAGUAGCAGAGACAGAGAACUAUUGAUCAUAUUGUACUUACUGAUUUACAAAUUUAUUAUGUUGUAUGACUGCGUAAUG